This 510-nucleotide ribosomal RNA is filed under the name uncultured bacterium. RNAcentral's name for it is "partial 16S ribosomal RNA". It matches the Rfam family "Bacterial small subunit ribosomal RNA", at positions 28 to 507 of the family's 1533-position model. The record is from RNAcentral.
GACGAACGCUGGCGGCGUGCUUAACACAUGCAAGUCGAACGAAGAGCGACGGAAGCUUGCUUCUCUCAAUCUUAGUGGCGAACGGGUGAGUAACGCGUAAUCAACCUGCCCUUCAGAGGGGGACAACAGUUGGAAACGACUGCUAAUACCGCAUACGAUCUAACCUCGGCAUCGAGGAUAGAUGAAAGGUGGCCUCUACAUGUAAGCUAUCACUGAAGGAGGGGAUUGCGUCUGAUUAGCUAGUUGGAGGGGUAACGGCCCACCAAGGCGAUGAUCAGUAGCCGGUCUGAGAGGAUGAACGGCCACAUUGGGACUGAGACACGGCCCAGACGCCUACGGGAGGCAGCAGUGGGGAAUCUUCCGCAAUGGACGAAAGUCUGACGGAGCAACGCCGCGUGAGUGAUGACGGCCUUCGGGUUGUAAAGCUCUGUUAAUCGGGACGAAAGGCCUUCUUGCGAAUAGUGAGAAGGAUUGACGGUACCGGAAGAGAAAGCCACGGCUAACUACGUG